ACGCCAUCCUUCUUUUGCCUGUCCAGGUCAUCCAGUGAUCCAUGAGGGGGGAGGGAGGGGGAGGCAGUCUGUCUCCUACUAACAUUGUGUCCACGGGACUCCAGAAUGGGCUCCGUCAGCAGAACCAAGGACACGAGGUACGGACGAGGAGACGGCGAGGUGAGGACAGGAGGCUGAGUCCAGUUACGCAAGCCUGUCUCUCGCUCCUCGUCUUUUAUUUUUUCUCGCCGGCAGACUCUCCUCCUCCCCCCCCGGCAAUCCAUCAUCGUGCACAGCAUCGGCAAUUGGGCGAAUAUUAAUGCCAUCCACAACCCGGUUUCCCCCCCCCCCCCCUACACACACACACACACAAAAGAUGACAUGGAGCCACCGCCCAUAAUUCAGUAAGCUCUGACCCGACUACGGUGAGACAUAAAACACUCCGUUUAAAGGGCAUAAGCAGCUUUUACGGCAAUGAAUGUCAACCUAUAUGCCCCUUUAACACACACGCACACACACGCACACACACUCACACACACACACACACACACGUCUUUACAGUAAACUGCUAUACUUAUGAGGACCAAGGUCCAGGGCUGUUGUGCCUUAUUAAAUAUGCAUUUCUGCUAUCAGAAAAUGACUCGCUUGAUUACCUAAUAUGGGCGGGGCUAUCUCCGAUUGACAGCUUGCCAACACGCCACUUGUCUUACAUCCACUUCUGACGUUCGGGUCUUUGGUCACGAAAAGUUUUCGCAGAGAAAGAAGAACCCACAGUUGCUCCCUUCGCAUCUGAGAUGCUGCUUUUGUCGCCGUGUGCGGGCAAGCGUGUCUGCUUGCGAGGCAGACGGCGACGGAGCGAGCCGGAGACGGGAGGAGAAGGACGAGUGAGUUGGGUUGAGUCUCGUAUGUGGAGGAGUUUAUACUUCACGGCUCUCCAAAUUGGAGCCGUUGGCGGCUCCCGGGCCUCCCUCGCUCAUGCGUACGUGGGCAGCGGAUCAAUCUCACAGCCCUCCUCAGACGCUUCCCAGCAGGAAAUCCCGUCCCAUUUGCAUGUGUCACUCGGCGCGAGCUCGCCGAUGGGCGCGCCCACGUGUCGGGUCUAGGGGGACGGGAGCGUGCACCGAGGAAUCGCUUCGAACCGGAACACUCGACUCCAGAUCUUUGGCAUGUUCCUCAUGUCACCCCGAUUGCCAAGUCAGAUUAUUGUCCCAGUGCCAGUCUGCUCGUCGCUGGGACAUGACGGAGGGGGGACGGGGGGCAUUGUUUGCAUUUGAGUGUCCUUCCUUUGAGCGAUCAAGAAGGCUUGAUUUGGGUAGGUGGCUUAUUAACACCCCAACACACCCUCACCAGGACGUCCACUGGCGGUCGUCAGCCGAAGGCCUCCAGCGGCGCCAUUGUCUGAAUUCGACUUGACAUUUCCUCCGCCUUCUUCCGUUAAUGCCGUCUGGUCGUCCGUCCAGACAGCCGGCGCAGAGAUUAACUACCUCUGAGAUUCGUUCCAGCAUUAAGGAGAGAAAUGACACCAGGCUGCAGGGGGGGGCAUCAUGUUAACAUCAGGGAGAAACCAGGACGGUUGGAAAAUGGGCACAAAGGACAUUUACAAUGUUUUAGUAUUUUACGAGACGACUUUGUGGCAGCGCUGGGAUCUGUUUCCGUAUCGGGGGGGAAAGACGCAUUCUUGUUAGCAAAGGCUUUAUUUAUGUAGCUGGAAGCAGCGAACAACACACAGAUAUGCAGACCACCGUUUGCUGGACUGAGGAAAUUAACUUUUCUCACCGUCUCCCCUUUAUUAUGUGCAGAAUGCAAAGCUGCCCUUUAAAUAUCACAUAGUUAAAGGUAAUGAACACAUAUUUCUUUAGGCCCCAGUUAAAGAUCAAAUGUUAUUUCCAUUGGAGAGGCAGGCUGUCAUUAGCUAAAUGCUGCCUCGCCCUACGGGAUUAAUAUUCCCUACUCCAAAUUAAGCCCUGCGCUCCGUCGCCAUCGCGCCUGACCACAGCUUAAAAUCUCAGUGGACUCUCUGAGGAUUCGCACUGACGUCAUCGGGUAGCGUAGACGCUCCGUAGUGGCCUUUGUCUGAUUCGUUGGGGCUGGUCGCGGCGCACUGAACGCCCCAUGCGGGGGUCAACGCUCGCUUAUAAUGGUUUAAAUAAGCCGCGUCUAUAACUUAAAUAAUGCUUUCUCACUAUGUUUCAAUCACAAUUCAUAUAUAGUGUCAAUUAGAAACAAGUUUCCCUGGAAAUGUAAGUGAGAAACCACAUGG
Long non-coding RNA from Gasterosteus aculeatus aculeatus (three-spined stickleback), 2239 nucleotides. Lineage: Eukaryota; Metazoa; Chordata; Actinopteri; Perciformes; Gasterosteidae. The record is from Ensembl.